Molecule: transfer RNA, 73 nt
Filed under: Alphaproteobacteria bacterium
Lineage: Bacteria; Pseudomonadati; Pseudomonadota; Alphaproteobacteria
Description: tRNA-Arg
Source: RNAcentral
GCGCUCGCCGGCGGAUCCGGCGCGUCGGCUCCGAUCCGACGAUGCGGAGGUUCGAAUCCUCCCGGGCGCUCCA